This is a long non-coding RNA of Schistocerca nitens (vagrant locust), 350 nucleotides long. RefSeq lists it as uncharacterized. The transcript is spliced from 3 exons. The record is from RefSeq and is a predicted model, not a curated record. NCBI's taxonomy places the organism in Eukaryota, Metazoa, Arthropoda, Insecta, Orthoptera, Acrididae.
AGCAACUUUCUGAAAUGGCUGUUGUACCAUGGUGCAUCUUUACCAUCCCUCACAAUCUUGCUUGGGACACACCGCUCUAAUUAUCUGCCUACGCUUGAAUGCAUUUUCAAACACCGAGAUUCAAAUCGCAGAAGACGUCGCAUUCAUGCAAGAGGCUCACGUAGGAGCAAAAGGAGACGUUUUUGCUGUAGUUAAAAGCUGCAACGUGGAUGGGCUGGAAGUCAAACUAACAUCCUCUCAGCUAGGAGCUCCUGGGAUUUGUCAGCAUCUGCUGCCACCUCUGCAUCCCCAGUCCCAGUUCUGCCCUGGAACACUGCCAUCCAUCACCGUGGCUACACACUGGUCUCUUC